Non-coding RNA from Vicia faba (fava bean), 333 nucleotides. The record is from the annotation of a GenBank genome assembly. NCBI's taxonomy places the organism in Eukaryota, Viridiplantae, Streptophyta, Magnoliopsida, Fabales, Fabaceae.
CAACCUAUACUUUUCAGCAUUUCUUUUUCUCUCUCUAAAAUAUACCAUCCUCGCUCACCUAAACCCACCAACUUUUUGAACAUGGAAAACACCAUAAAGCUUCAAAUUACUUGUGUCCUAUUCAUGUUUUUAAUUUUCAACCAACAAGUUAUGUUUGUUGAAGGGAGGAGUUUGAGGUCUCGGUUAUGUAGAGGUUGCUCAAAGCGUCACAAAAGCUCCAUUAUUCAUCAUCAAAGAAGAAAGUCUUCAAGACGUGUAGAGUAUGAAGUGGAUGAUUUUAGGCCAACAUCACCUGGUCAUAGUCCAGGUGUUGGUCAUUCCAUCAACAAUUAA